RNAcentral lists this ribosomal RNA (251 nucleotides) under uncultured prokaryote. RNAcentral describes it as "partial 16S rRNA". The record is from RNAcentral.
ACGGAGGGUGCAAGCGUUCCCCCCCAUUACCCCGCGUCCCGCUCCCCCCGUCUGUUUUUUCCCCCACCCGUCAAAUCCCCGGGCCCAACCUGGGAACUCCAUCUGAUACUGGCAAGCUUGAGUCUCGUAGAGGGGGGUAGAAUUCCAGGGGUAGCGGUGAAAUGCGUAGGGAUGUGGGGGAGGAAAGGGGGCGAGGGAGGGGGGAGGGAAGAAGGAGGAAGAGAAGGGGAGAAAGAGGGGGGAGAAAAAAG